This 489-nucleotide ribosomal RNA is filed under the name Triticum aestivum (bread wheat). RNAcentral describes it as "partial small subunit ribosomal RNA". The record is from RNAcentral. Lineage: Eukaryota; Viridiplantae; Streptophyta; Magnoliopsida; Poales; Poaceae.
AUGUUUUAUGGUCAUGCCCCGCUAGUCAAUGAUUUAUUCUUAUUUAAUCUCGAACGUGAUGUUACACAUAUUCAUAGUGUGAAUGCCGAAAGAUGUAAGGUUGAUAAUGAUAGUCCCACAUACUUGUGGCACUGCCGCCUUGGUCACAUUGGUGUCAAACACAUGAAGAAACUCCAUGCAGAUGGACUUUUGGAGUCUCUUGAUUAUGAAUCAUUUGACACGUGCGAACCAUGCCUCAUGGGCAAAAUGACCAAGACUCCAUUCUCCGGAACAAUGGAGCGAGCAACCAACUUAUUGGAAAUCAUACAUACUAAUGUGUGCGGUCCAAUGAGCGUCGAGGCUCGCAGUGGCUAUCGUUAUGUUCUCACCAUCACUGAUGACUUGAGUAGAUAUGUGUAUGUCUACUCAAUGAAACACAAGUCUGAGACCUUUGAAAAGUUCAAGGAAUUUCAGAGUGAGGUUGAGAAUCAAUGUGACAGGAAAAUCAAG